This 834-nucleotide ribosomal RNA is filed under the name uncultured bacterium. Its description in RNAcentral is "bacterial SSU rRNA". It matches the Rfam family "Bacterial small subunit ribosomal RNA", at positions 28 to 860 of the family's 1533-position model. The record is from RNAcentral.
AACGAACGCUGGCGGCGCGUCUAAGGCAUGCAAGUCGAACGGUAAGGCACCUUCGGGUGUACACGAGUGGCAAACGGGUGAGUAACACGUGGAUAAUCUACCCUGAAGUGCGGAAUAACUCUAAGAAAUUAGAGCUAAUACCACAUAACACCUAUGCUUCACAUGAAGUGUAGGUCAAAGAAGCAAUUUGCUUCAGGAUGAGUCCGCGGUCUAUUAGUUUGUUGGUGAGGUAAUGGCUCACCAAGACUACGAUGGAUAGCCGGCCUGAGAGGGUGAUCGGCCACAUUGGAACUGCGACACGGUCCAGACUCCUACGGGAGGCAGCAGCUAAAAAUCUUGGUCAAUGGGCGAAAGCCUGAACCAGCGACGCCGCGUGGAUGAUGAAGGUCUUUUGGAUUGUAAAGUCCUUUUCUAUAGGAAGAAUACCUUUGCAAAAUAAGGUUGACGGUACUAUAGGAAUAAGCUCCGGCUAAUUACGUGCCAGCAGCCGCGGCAAUACGUAAGGAGCGAGCGUUGUUCGGAUUUAUUGGGCGUAAAGGGUGCGUAGGCGGAAUAGCAAGUUAGAUGUGCAAUCUUUGAGCUUAACUUAGAAACUGCGUCUAAAACUGCUAAUCUUGAGUAGUGGAGAGGAAGGCGGAAUUCCUGGUGUAGGAGUGAAAUCUUUAGAUAUCAGGAAGAACACCGGUGGCGUAGGCGGCCUUCUGGCCUCUAACUGACGCUGAUGCACGAAAGCCAGGGGAGCGAACGGGAUUAGAUACCCCGGUAGUCCUGGCCGUAAACGUUGUAUACUAGGUGUAUGAGGCAUCGAUCCCUCAUGUGCCGCAGCUAACGCAU